Molecule: ribosomal RNA, 545 nt
Filed under: uncultured bacterium
Lineage: Bacteria
Description: partial 16S ribosomal RNA
Rfam family: Bacterial small subunit ribosomal RNA
Source: RNAcentral
GGGGAAUAUUGCACAAUGGGCGAAAGCCUGAUGCAGCAACGCCGCGUGAGUGAUGAAGGUCUUCGGAUUGUAAAGCUCUGUCUUUUGGGACGAUAAUGACGGUACCAAAGGAGGAAGCCACGGCUAACUACGUGCCAGCAGCCGCGGUAAUACGUAGGUGGCGAGCGUUGUCCGGAUUUACUGGGCGUAAAGGGUGCGUAGGCGGAUGUUUAAGUGAGAUGUGAAAUACCCGGGCUUAACUUGGGUGCUGCAUUUCAAACUGGAUAUCUAGAGUGCAGGAGAGGAGAAUGGAAUUCCUAGUGUAGCGGUGAAAUGCGUAGAGAUUAGGAAGAACACCAGUGGCGAAGGCGAUUCUCUGGACUGUAACUGACGCUGAGGCACGAAAGCGUGGGUAGCAAACAGGAUUAGAUACCCUGGUAGUCCACGCCGUAAACGAUGAGUACUAGGUGUAGGAGGUAUCGACCCCUUCUGUGCCGCAGUAAACACAUUAAGUACUCCGCCUGGGGAAGUACGAUCGCAAGAUUAAAACUCUAAAGUGAAUUGAC